Molecule: microRNA precursor, 205 nt
Filed under: Oryza barthii
Lineage: Eukaryota; Viridiplantae; Streptophyta; Magnoliopsida; Poales; Poaceae
Description: MIR812 microRNA precursor family
Rfam family: MIR812 microRNA precursor family
Source: Rfam by way of RNAcentral
AACAAGUGCAGCCGUGGAUAUUCGUGUCCAACAUUUGACCGUCCGUCUUAUUUGAAAAAUUAAUGAAAAAAAUUAAAAAAAUUAGUCACACAUAAAGUAUUAUUCAUGUUUUAUCAUCUAAUAGCAAUAAAAUACUAAUAAAAAAAUUUUCAAAUAAGACGAACGGUCAAACGUUGAACGUGAAUAGUGUAAAACUGCACUUAUU